GAUGAACGCUGACAGAAUGCUUAACACAUGCAAGUCGAUGGGGAAGUGGUGCUUGCACCAUGGCAACCAUGGCGGACGGGUGAGUAACGCGUAAGGGACUUACCUGCAGGACUGGGAUAACAGGGGGAAACUCCUGACAAGACCGGAUAAUGUCACGGAGCUGCAUGGCUUUAUGAUGAAAGGAGACGCCUGCGGAGAGCCUUGCGUCCUAUUAGCUAGUUGGUGAGGUAAUGGCUCACCAAGGCGAAGAUAGGUAGCCGGCCUGAGAGGGUGGACGGCCACAAGGGGACUGAGAUACGGCCCUUACUCCUACGGGAGGCAGCAGUGGGGAAUAUUGGACAAUGGGGGCAACCCUGAUCCAGCAAUUCUGUGUGCACGAAGAAGGUUUUCGGAGUGUAAAGUGCUUUCAGCAGGGAAGAAGUAAGUGACGGUACCUGCAGAAGAAGCGACGGCUAAAUACGUG
RNAcentral lists this ribosomal RNA (463 nucleotides) under uncultured bacterium. Its description in RNAcentral is "partial 16S ribosomal RNA". It matches the Rfam family "Bacterial small subunit ribosomal RNA", at positions 28 to 507 of the family's 1533-position model. The record is from RNAcentral.